RNAcentral lists this ribosomal RNA (420 nucleotides) under uncultured bacterium. RNAcentral's name for it is "bacterial SSU rRNA". It matches the Rfam family "Bacterial small subunit ribosomal RNA", at positions 358 to 770 of the family's 1533-position model. The record is from RNAcentral.
GGAAUAUUGGACAAUGGGGGCAACCCUGAUCCAGCAAUACCGCGUGUGUGAAGAAGGCCUUCGGGUUGUAAAGCACUUUCAGUUGGGAGGAAGGCUUCUAUUCGAAUAGGAUAGGAGAUUGACGUUACCGACAGAAGAAGCACCGGCUAACUCUGUGCCAGCAGCCGCGGUAAUACAGAGGGUGCAAGCGUUAAUCGGAAUUACUGGGCGUAAAGGGCGCGUAGGUUGCUAGUUUAGUCAGAUGUGAAAUGUCCGGGCUUAACCUGGACCUGCCAUCUGAUACUGGCUAGCUAGAGUACAGUAGAGGGAAGUGGAAUUUCCGGUGUAGCGGUGAAAUGCGUAGAUAUCGGAAGGAACAUCAGUGGCGAAGGCGACUUCCUGGACUGAUACUGACACUGAGGCGCGAAAGCGUGGGUAGCA